Sapajus apella (tufted capuchin) is the source of this 3346-nucleotide long non-coding RNA. RefSeq lists it as uncharacterized. The transcript is spliced from 4 exons. NCBI's taxonomy places the organism in Eukaryota, Metazoa, Chordata, Mammalia, Primates, Cebidae. The record is from RefSeq and is a predicted model, not a curated record.
CCAGCCUGACCUCUACAUCACUGUCUCUGAAGGAGCCUCACUGGAGUUGAGAUGCAACUAUUCCUAUGGGGCAACUGCCUAUUUAUUCUGAUUCAACCCUAGAUUUGUGAAUUGACACCCUAGAUUAUGGUUUUCUGAGCUGCUGUGACAAAUACCUCAGACGGGAUGGCAUGAACAACAGAAUCUGUUUUCUCUCAAUUCUGGAGGUAGAAAUCCAAGAUCAAGGUGUUGGCAGGAAAAAAGGAAAAAAGAGAAAAUGACCACCUUCUUCAUUAGGUUUUGUUCAACUUUCCUAAGUAUUUUUCCUGCCUCUGGGAUCAUAUAGCUUGUAGUUUACACUCCUCUUAGGGUCCUACUAUGUGAUUUAUAUUAUGGAUAUGUGUUUUUGUCCACUCCAGUAGACUAUAAACUAAUGUCACAUCUGCUUUUAAGUAUCCUUAAAACCUAAUAAAUAAUUCACUUGUAGUAAAACUUCAAUACGUGUUUUGGACUUAUUUUGAACUAAUAGAAGGAAUUAAGUGAAGAGUACAAGAUGACAAUUGCCAAAUUGAGAUACUAAUUUCCAAGAAAUGACAUUUUUAAAGUGGCAGUUGGUUCAUUCUUAACCUCCAUUUAAUCUAGGCAGUUAUAUGGUUUUCUGACCAUCUCCGUUUUCUUCAUAGGAAACAUGAAGUGAAUGGGGCUGGGUGUGUGACUACUGAAAAGUUAGUUGGUCCAAAGUGGUCUCUGUUGAUGAUUUCAGUCCACUAGGGAGCCCCUCUAAGAUUUCCAGAAACGAAGACUUUUUCUGAUGGUCUCAAAGGGUGGAACCGAGGAUACAAGAGGGCAUGUGUGUCAGUCAAAUCACAGAUAACAUGGGACUGCAGUGGGGUGGGGGACAGUGUGUGUGUAAAGUUCACCUUAGGUUUUCAGCUCUGACUUUCUAUAUAAAAUCUCAGGAAGCUGGAGUUCAUAGGUCUAUAAAUCCAUUGUUAGAAUGAUUCUCUAAGCAGAGGUGAGGGAUUUAGAGUUUUACUGGGAAUCAAGAGAAUGGACACUCAAUAGAAAACAUCUCUAUUACAUAUUUUUGGUUUUAAAAUUUUUAUGACUAAAAUUCCUGAAAUUCACUGACAUGGAAAUUAUUCCAAAAUACCCCUGAUAUCUGAUUUCUUCAUAUAUCUUCUCUGAGGCUAAAAGGACAAGAAAGGAGAAUAGGAAGAAAAUAAGGACCAAAACCAGAAAGAGAAUAGAGAGGCAAUAUUUAAUUGACCAGCAAUAUGUGUCUGAUGGUAACAGCUGUGUGGGCCUGCAGGGUGUGUGGGGAAACGGCUGGACAGAGUGGGAGAGGUAGAAAUUAAGUCAGGGUGGAUAUCAUACACACAUCCUAUUUUUCUUUUAACUAACCAAACUCUAGUCGGAAACAUUUUCUAUGCAGACAAUCUCCUGAUUUCAAGAAAUUGUAUUUAUUUCUAAAUUCACAAUACAUGCUAUCAAGAAGUUUUCCUUUAUUAAAAUUUUCAUAUAAUUGAAUUCUGCAAUUUUCUGUCAAGCUGUGUAAUAUGGGCUUCCCAUGAUUCUUCAAAGCUCUGCUUUCCCCAGCUGAGACAUGAAUUCCUCUGAGGUGUAUCAUCCUCUUUCUUCACACACUAUCCUACAAAUUUCUCUCAUAUAAUGUACUUUAAGGGGAAAAAACAUCCUAUCUUCACACAUUGGAAAUAUUGCUUCUUCCUCCCUUGCACUAUUCACAUCCACAAUUUUGGAGAGAUUACUGUGCAGUCUCAAGGGUCACAGCUGGUGGAGUUUCCUGUUCAGAUGAAUGACAGAACUCAGGUGUGAUUGGUGCUCAGGGUGUAUGUGCAAACCAUUGACUGGAAGAACAAGUUUGUUUGGACUCAAGCCUUGACCCCAUUCCAGAGCAGGGGUGAAGGCACCCCAGCAACCAGGCAAGGAACCAUAGAGAGGAGACUGGGAGUUCUGCUGGGCCUUUUGUAGGUCCUGGUUUGCAGUGAGUCAGACUGUCCUAGAUGAGGGCUGUGGGCAGUUCCUCUACCGACAGGGAAAGGGAGGGAAGGAAGAGCUGACACAAAGCUCCUGGACUGUCCUACAUCCUCAUGAGUAUUUCUAGGGAUACUUCACAGGUUUGGAAACUGCAUCAGUGAUUCCCUAGUGACAUAAUACAUAUUUGCGUUUCUCUUUCCAAGCAGGAGUGAGGGGAGUGAAGGUGGAGCAGAGUCCUUCAGCCCCAAGUUUCCAGGAGAGAACCAGCUCUACUUUGAGGUGCAGUUUUUCUACCUCUGUGAACAACGUGCAGUGGUUCUGACAGAGACCUGGGGUGGCCUCAUCAAUCUGUUUUUCAUGGCUUCAGGGAUGAAGCACAGUGGGAAGUUAUGGUCAAAAAGGAAUUCUAAGGAGCUCUGUAGUACCCUACACAUCAUAGCCUCCCAACUGAAAGACUUAGGCACGUAAUUCUGUGCAGUGGAGGCACAGUUCUCGCAGGAAAUCUGCAGCCUGGACCCAAAUUGCAGCCGGGCCUGCAGCCCCAACCCUUUCCAGGAGAGACAUGUUGCCCCCACAGUAUCAUUUGCACAGCUUUGAGUUUUCUGAUUGACGUUGCACUUUUACCUCUGCUAAAAUUAGACACUUCAGGAUUGUCAUUUAACUUUUUUGUUCUACCCUUUUACUCUCAGAAAUCUCUUUGGGGGAAAAAGCUUUGAUAUGGAACCAUUGGAGCAACUUAUAAAGAUAUGAGGACCCAAUGUACUGUUAAAACAGAUCCUCUAGCAGAGAGCAUAUAAAUUACUGUGAGAAAAAAGUUUUGAAAAAAUGUAUACUGGUCAACAAAUAGAAAAGAGGUGACUCCGUGUUUCAUCUAAAUGCAGAUUUUUCACUUUUCUAGUAAAAGAGAAGAGAGUAUAUAUGAUGCAUGUUAUAUAUAUAUUUUAAUAUUGGUAUUCAUAUUUUUCACUCCUGGAACCAGUAAAAGAUAAAAUUUUAAAGCACGUAAUGUCGUUGUCAGACAUUCUCUGAAUUUACAUAUGUUAUCUAGGUGCUGACAAUACCUCUUUACUUUACACAUGAAUAAACUGAGGAUUAUAGGGCACACAAGUCUUGCCUGAGCUCGUAUGGUUACUAAACUAGCAAUGAGCCUGGGCUGGGACUCCCACUCUCGAUGUCUGACAGCAGGUUGUGUACUCUAAGCUACACACUACAGGAGACUCUUUAAAAUCACGAAAUAAAAGUUAUUUCAACAGAUAAAUUUGUGCAAUGUCCUCACACACAUCACUGGCAAAUAUUUCCAUUUGGAUAAUUUCUAAAUUGCACCUAGUAAGAAAGAGUUCAUUAAACCUUUCAUUUUGUUACAUUAAAA